Molecule: ribosomal RNA, 267 nt
Filed under: uncultured bacterium
Lineage: Bacteria
Description: partial 16S ribosomal RNA
Rfam family: Bacterial small subunit ribosomal RNA
Source: RNAcentral
CCGGCGACCGGCGCACGGUGAGUAACACGUAUGCAACCUGCCUCCGCAGGGGAUAACCCGGAGAAAUCCGGACUAAUACCGCGUGGUACACCAGUGGGGCAUCCCACUGGUGUUAAAAGGAAGUGAUUCCGGCGGAGGAUGGGCAUGCGGCGCAUUAGCUUGUUGCGGGGUAACGGCCCACCAAGGCGACGAUGCGUAGGGGUUCUGAGAGGAAGGUCCCCCACACUGGUACUGAGACACGGACCAGACUCCUACGGAAGGCAGCAG